GAUGAACGCUGGCGGCGUGCUUAACACAUGCAAGUCGAACGAUGAAGCCCAGCUUGCUGGGUGGAUUAGUGGCGAACGGGUGAGUAACACGUGAGUAACCUGCCCUUAACUCUGGGAUAAGCCUGGGAAACUGGGUCUAAUACCGGAUAGGAGCGCCUACCGCAUGGUGGGUGUUGGAAAGAUUUAUCGGUUUUGGAUGGACUCGCGGCCUAUCAGCUUGUUGGUGAGGUAAUGGCUCACCAAGGCGACGACGGGUAGCCGGCCUGAGAGGGUGACCGGCCACACUGGGACUGAGACACGGCCCAGACUCCUACGGGAGGCAGCAGUGGGGAAUAUUGCACAAUGGGCGAAAGCCUGAUGCAGCGACGCCGCGUGAGGGAUGACGACCUUCGGGUUGUAAACCUCUUUCAGUAGGGAAGAAGCGAAAGUGAUGGUACCUGCAGAAGAAGCACCGGCUAACUACGUG
Molecule: ribosomal RNA, 466 nt
Filed under: uncultured bacterium
Lineage: Bacteria
Description: partial 16S ribosomal RNA
Rfam family: Bacterial small subunit ribosomal RNA
Source: RNAcentral